AACAGCUCAAAUUUGAAAUCUGGCCCUUCCGGGGUCCGAGUUGUAAUUUGUAGAGAGUGCUUCGGGGGAGAGUGCGGUCUAAGUCCAUUGGAACAUGGUGUCAUAGAGGGUGAGAAUCCCGUACGUGACCGCGGAUCGAACCCGUGUGAAGCCUCUUCGACGAGUCGAGUUGUUUGGGAAUGCAGCUCAAAAUGGGUGGUAAAUUUCAUCUAAAGCUAAAUACUGGCUGGAGACCGAUAGCGCACAAGUAGAGUGAUCGAAAGAUGAAAAGCACUUUGGAAAGAGAGUUAAACAGUACGUGAAAUUGUUGAAAGGGAAGCGCUGGCAACCAGACCUGCCCGUAGGCGAUCAACCGCUGUUCUCAGCGGUGCACUCGUUCUGCGAUCAGGCCAGCAUCGGUUUCGGCGGUCGGAUAAAGGCCUUGGGAAUGUAGCUUCCUUUCGGGGGAGUCUUAUAGCCCUCGGUGCAAUGCGGCCAGCCGGGACCGAGGACCGCGCUUCGGCUAGGAUGCUGGCGUAAUGGUUGUCAGCGACC
Molecule: ribosomal RNA, 534 nt
Filed under: Parmotrema hypotropum
Lineage: Eukaryota; Fungi; Ascomycota; Lecanoromycetes; Lecanorales; Parmeliaceae
Also listed under: 1 other name
Description: eukaryotic LSU rRNA
Rfam family: Eukaryotic large subunit ribosomal RNA
Source: RNAcentral